This 1052-nucleotide long non-coding RNA is filed under the name Manihot esculenta (cassava). Its description in RNAcentral is "long non-coding RNA (MESC_LNC007648)". The record is from RNAcentral. Lineage: Eukaryota; Viridiplantae; Streptophyta; Magnoliopsida; Malpighiales; Euphorbiaceae.
UUUUCAAACAUGGGAGAAAUCUCUUAUGCGAAAUAAAGACUUGUGAAGGAAAAGCCUAGUCCUGUCAGCCAAUGGUGCCGGGAAGAGGUGAAGGUCUUGUGCGUGAUGAAGCCUGAAUGGGAUGUCAGCUUGUCGACAAGUUGCAUGCGGGCAUAUUUGAAGAGGUCCAGGAAUCACAGAAGUUGGGAGUUGUCAUUGAGAGGUCUUAAGGCUCUGGAUUCUGGAAGAGCUUCUCUAUGGUAGAGAUGAUCCUGUUUCUCUCCUAUCUUGUUCUCAUCGAUGAUUGCCAAUGAAAUGGGAGCCACAUCUGGAUUACAUGUAAAGAGCCCUCAAUCACCUAUUCCCAGGUCUCUUUCUUUUCUUCUUUCUCCAUUUCCUAUGGGUUAGGGGUCCCAUGAGAAGAAGACCUUCCUGUCUUAACAAGUUUUUGGUCCCUGGGAGAAACAAUUUUAGCUAAAAUAUCCUCAUAUCACAACAAAUUUUUGUCCUUUUCUUGCUUUCAUGGUUUUUGUUUACAACUUCUAACAAUAUUCUUUGAAGCCUAGUCUCACGGCACAAAAUUCUCUCUAGCGAUAAGAUGAUUAAAUAUGCAACAGCCGGGUAAAAAUUAGUCUAAAGUAAUUUUCGAUCUAUUUUCUAUUAGACCCAAAAUAGUUAAAAAUAAUUAAUUUAAAUUGUUAAGUAAUCAACUAGUUAUGACUGUUAGAAUAUUGCAGAGGCCUCACAAAGAAAGGAUAAAGGGAUGCGGUCAUAACUUUACAACUUAAUUGGACCACCACCAACAAACAACAUAAGUCUGCACGGCUGAGAAGCUUCGAAGGUGGUGUUUACUGGCUGGUGGGUGUCUCCGUCAGAAGAUCUACCUUGGAUCUUUACCCAUUAAAGUUGAAAGUCAAGAUUCCUGUUUUAAUAAAGCUUCUACUGCCAUUUUUUUUUUAAUCUUUUUGUGCUUGCUCUUCCAGAGAUGAUCCUCACACGUACACAAAGAGGGGUGAAACUUUUAUCAAUUUUCACUUUUUGUUUUAAUAUUUAAAGAAAAUUUAUGACUCUAA